AACGAACGCUGGCGGCAUGCCUAACACAUGCAAGUCGAACGAGACCUUCGGGUCUAGUGGCGCACGGGUGCGUAACGCGUGGGAACCUGCCCUUAGGUUCUGAAUAACUCCCCGAAAGGGGUGCUAAUACCGGAUAAUGUCUUCGGACCAAAGAUUUAUCGCCUUUGGAUGGGCCCGCGUUGGAUUAGCUAGUUGGUAGGGUAAAAGCCUACCAAGGCGACGAUCCAUAGCUGGUCUGAGAGGAUGAUCAGCCACACUGGGACUGAGACAUGGCCCAGACUCCUACGGGAGGCAGCAGUGGGGAAUAUUGGACAAUGGGCGAAAGCCUGAUCCAGCAAUGCCGCGUGAGUGAUGAAGGCCUUAGGGUUGUAAAGCUCUUUUACCCGGGAUGAUAAUGACAGUACCGGGAGAAUAAGCUCCGGCUAACUCCGUG
Molecule: ribosomal RNA, 433 nt
Filed under: uncultured bacterium
Lineage: Bacteria
Description: partial 16S ribosomal RNA
Rfam family: Bacterial small subunit ribosomal RNA
Source: RNAcentral